CUAGCGACUUCAGAGUUUGAUCCUGGCUCAGACGAACGCUGGCGGCGUGCCUACACAUGCAAGUCGAACGGGGUGAUGACUUCGGUUAUUACUUAGUGGCGAACGGGUGAGUAACGCGUGAGAAACCUGCCUUUCAGUGGGGGACAACAGUUGGAAACGACUACUAAUACCGCAUAAUGUUAUUUAAGGGCAUCCUUGAAUAACCAAAGAUUUAUUGCUGAAAGAUGGUCUCGCGUCUGAUUAGCUAGAUGGCGGGGUAACGGCCCACCAUGGCGACGAUCAGUAGCCGGUCUGAGAGGAUGAACGGCCACAUUGGGACUGAGAUACGGCCCAG
This 334-nucleotide ribosomal RNA is filed under the name uncultured bacterium. RNAcentral's name for it is "bacterial SSU rRNA". It matches the Rfam family "Bacterial small subunit ribosomal RNA", at positions 1 to 334 of the family's 1533-position model. The record is from RNAcentral.